RNAcentral lists this ribosomal RNA (1372 nucleotides) under uncultured bacterium. Its description in RNAcentral is "bacterial SSU rRNA". It matches the Rfam family "Bacterial small subunit ribosomal RNA", at positions 28 to 1381 of the family's 1533-position model. The record is from RNAcentral.
GAUGAACGCUGGCGGCGUGCCUAAUACAUGCAAGUCGAGCGAACGGACGAGAAGCUUGCUUCUCUGAUGUUAGCGGCGGACGGGUGAGUAACACGUGGAUAACCUACCUAUAAGACUGGGAUAACUUCGGGAAACCGGAGCUAAUACCGGAUAAUAUUUUGAACCGCAUGGUUCAAAAGUGAAAGACGGUCUUGCUGUCACUUAUAGAUGGAUCCGCGCUGCAUUAGCUAGUUGGUAAGGUAACGGCUUACCAAGGCAACGAUGCAUAGCCGACCUGAGAGGGUGAUCGGCCACACUGGAACUGAGACACGGUCCAGACUCCUACGGGAGGCAGCAGUAGGGAAUCUUCCGCAAUGGGCGAAAGCCUGACGGAGCAACGCCGCGUGAGUGAUGAAGGUCUUCGGAUCGUAAAACUCUGUUAUUAGGGAAGAACAUAUGUGUAAGUAACUGUGCACAUCUUGACGGUACCUAAUCAGAAAGCCACGGCUAACUACGUGCCAGCAGCCGCGGUAAUACGUAGGUGGCAAGCGUUAUCCGGAAUUAUUGGGCGUAAAGCGCGCGUAGGCGGUUUUUUAAGUCUGAUGUGAAAGCCCACGGCUCAACCGUGGAGGGUCAUUGGAAACUGGAAAACUUGAGUGCAGAAGAGGAAAGUGGAAUUCCAUGUGUAGCGGUGAAAUGCGCAGAGAUAUGGAGGAACACCAGUGGCGAAGGCGACUUUCUGGUCUGUAACUGACGCUGAUGUGCGAAAGCGUGGGGAUCAAACAGGAUUAGAUACCCUGGUAGUCCACGCCGUAAACGAUGAGUGCUAAGUGUUAGGGGGUUUCCGCCCCUUAGUGCUGCAGCUAACGCAUUAAGCACUCCGCCUGGGGAGUACGACCGCAAGGUUGAAACUCAAAGGAAUUGACGGGGACCCGCACAAGCGGUGGAGCAUGUGGUUUAAUUCGAAGCAACGCGAAGAACCUUACCAAAUCUUGACAUCCUUUGACAACUCUAGAGAUAGAGCUUUCCCCUUCGGGGGACAAAGUGACAGGUGGUGCAUGGUUGUCGUCAGCUCGUGUCGUGAGAUGUUGGGUUAAGUCCCGCAACGAGCGCAACCCUUAAGCUUAGUUGCCAUCAUUAAGUUGGGCACUCUAAGUUGACUGCCGGUGACAAACCGGAGGAAGGUGGGGAUGACGUCAAAUCAUCAUGCCCCUUAUGGUUUGGGCUACACACGUGCUACAAUGGACAAUACAAAGGGCAGCGAAACCGCGAGGUCAAGCAAAUCCCAUAAAGUUGUUCUCAGUUCGGAUUGUAGUCUGCAACUCGACUACAUGAAGCUGGAAUCGCUAGUAAUCGUAGAUCAGCAUGCUACGGUGAAUACGUUCCCGGGUCU